CCAUCCUAGGGAUGAGAAAACCAGCGAAGAGAUUCCAAAAGCUUAGGAAAAACGACAUAACAAUGGCAGCAAUUUGAUGGUUGGGAGUGAGUGCCACGAUCAUCAUUCCAUACAAUGUGAAGUAAAUAAAGCACAUGAGUAGGUAGUAGUAGAACCAUAAGAACUUGUCCACUCGCCAGUAGAAUCCCAUCAUAGAGUAGAGGAGAAGACUGUAAACCAAAGUUUGGAUUGCAACGUAAAUUGCCUCUAUGGCCACCUGCAGGGCAUCCGAAUACAAGAUUAGUUUAAAGUUAAGCUCUACUAGAAAUGUGUCUGUUUCUCAUCAGUUUUCUCAAAAGGCAACCUGGGCAAAUGCGUAAGGCAAUGCUGAAUACAUCCCAGCUGCCCUUUCACGGUAGAAGACUGUUCUCUCAAUUGCCACAACAGGCUGCACUGAGGAAGUGUUGGUGGCUCCAAGGAAGAAGACAGCUGAAAACAUAGCUCCCAGCAGAUUUAUUAGAUCUUGUUCCUUGUCUCUGCAUACAGUAGUUGGGGUGUUGGUUCACAUUUUUUGUUAAUUAUUAAUGGAGAACAACCAAAAUAAUAAAUUUGCAAUACUUACGUCUUCUCUCCUUUGUUCCAGAAAAUUACUCCAAAUAGAACACCAAUAAUUAUGGUCAAGAAGAACCGGAUAGCAUUAUAGGGAGGAUUCCUCCAAUAAGACCAGUGCUGUUUCCAGAAGCAAGCCUUGCAUUGACUAAUAAAGCUUUGAGAGUAUUUGGUGGGGAAAUAAAGGUCUUUGGAUCCUGGUGAUGGUGUGCUCAGCUCUUUGAUGAGUUCCUGAUUCCUCCUGCAACAAAAAGGUGAGUGUAAUAAGUCAUUGGAAAAAGAAUUGAGACAGAAAGAUGAUGUUCCAAGGAAUCAUAAUCCACUUACUGAUAGAGUUCAGAUUUAGCAUAAAUUUCUGCAAAAUCCACACCAAGUUGAGCCUCAACUGCAGCAGAGCUGAUCUCCAGCAUCCAUGUAGCAGGAUUUUGACCAUCUCUGACUUUAGGAACCCCCGGGACAGCCUGCAGCAAGUUAUGGAUUUGAUCAUGACACACUCCUUAUAAGUAUAACAAUGGAGAUGGAGCAAGUUCACGGAAGAUGAAUAAUGCUCACUUCAAAGUACUCUACAAGCUUGUGAGAAUUGCGACCAAGAGCUCCAGCAUAAAUGAUUUGUCCUCCUCUCUUCAUCAGCAGUAGCUGCAGGCAAAAAUGAUGUUGGAUUGAAGAAAGGAAUGGUGACUCCAUGAUAAUCAUACCAAUAAGAAGUAUUAGAUUCAAAACCAUGAAACUGAGAAAUACCUCAUCGAAAGCUUCAAAGAUGUCUAUGCUUGGCUGGUGAAUGGUGCAGACAACAGUCCGCCCUGUAUCCACUGUGUUUCUAACAGUACGCAUAACAACUGCGGCUGCUCUAGCAUCAAGGCCUGUCGUUGGCUCAUCCAUGAAGAGGAUGGAGGGGUUAGCAACCAAUUCUACAGCUACUGUCAGCCUCUUCCUCUGUUCUGUUGAAAGCCCAUGUAUUCCGGGAAGGCCAACCAAAGCAUCCCUCAGGGGGUGAAGCUCAACCAAUUCCAUUACUUCCUCAACAAACACCUAUGGCACAGAAGGAACAAAAAAAAAAAAAAAAACAACUGAUGAAUAUAGCUUAUAAGAGGGUGAACUAAAAGAAAAAUCAUUCAUUUGAAAAAAGGACAUGCCUGCCUUGUUUCCUUCUUGACAUCUGGAGCAAGGCGCAGCCAGGCAGAGUAAACAAGAGAUUCAUAAACAGUUACAUUUGGAGAAUGUAUAUCAUUCUGCUCACAGUAUCCACUAAUACGAGCGAAAGUUGCUUGGUUUUUGGGGUAACCAGAAAUACUGAUACUUCCUUCAAUGUAUCCACCAGUUUUCCUUCCUGCUAACACAUCCAUCAAAGUGGUCUUUCCAGCACCACUAACACCAACUAAUGCUAUUUGAAUACCUGGCCUGAAAGCACCACUAGCAUCCCGCAGCAGUUGGAGACGAUCCGCUUCAAUUCCUUGGCUCUUCAUUCCCUGUGAUUGAAUCCAUAAAAAAGUUUCAAAGCUCUAGACCAAGAUCAUAUCCUAACACAUAUAUUAGUCUCACUGGUGUGUCUACAUACUCAAAACAAGUUACUUACAGCAGGCAUAUCAACAUAGUAAUUCACAUGCUCAAAUGCAAGUGAUAAGGGCUGGAAGGGCAACACCAUUCCCCUUUUAGUAGGUGUAUGAUUUGCAUCUUUGACAACUGAUUUGGUGCUUUCUCUAGUUUUCCUUACUUCCAUAUCAAUACCUGUUACCAUAGACCUACUAUCAGCUUCCAGAUAAAGAAAAUCUGAUGUUUAUGUUAUUUGUAAUGUACAGUAUCGCUAGCCUCUUCAAGAAGUGAUUAACAAGAAUUUUGUGAGGGUCAGGUAAAAAUCUGGUGUCUCCUAGAGAAGGAGAACCAAUAGCAAGAAGCAAGUUCAGAAAUUGUAGAACCAUACAAUAAUAGUUGAUGAAACAUUGUUAAUAGCAACAUCUUCUCCUCUCUGCAAAGGGAAAUUUGCAGCAUGUUUCAGAAGAAAUAGAUCUCAAAACUUAUCCUUUUUGUCCUAACAUUUUGAAAUCUCUCUUAAUAUCCACCACUUUGUUAGGCUUGAGUUUUAGGCUAUCAUGCUACUGGUUUUCGACAUUGAUAAACCACUCAGUUUAUUGAAAAUGAACACCAUAAGGUGGCAAUCACAGGGGAUUUGAUUCAGUGGAAAACUAGAUAUUGAAUUAUUGUUGAAUGGAAACUGUAUAUGGACCUAAUGCUUGGUUAAUAAAAUAUAUAGAAACGCUAGAAGACAAACAAACAACCAAAAACCAGAGGAGAUCAAAGUAGGAAAAAUCUUGAACCUUCAGACAUUGGGGCAGUAGCUGAAUUUCUUUCUGGGGUGGUCAGAUCAUGCUGUUUGUUAGAGAAAAACUGCUUCUCACUCUUUUCUUCAUUUUCCUCAUCAAUAAUGACAGAUUUUGAGUCUCCCAGAGCUGCAUUUGAGUUUCAGAAAAUUGUCAAAACUAGAAUCUUAUUUAAAUAAUACCCAGUUCUGACUGAUGGAUGGUAAUUCCAUGACUAGAACCUUUGGAGGGAAGGAAAAAGGAAAAUGGAGGUUAGUAUAAGCAAUAACUUACGGUCCAAAUAUGUCAGAGCUACAAUGAAACAGAUAUUGAAGAGCAGAGAAAACCCCAUGAGUGCACCAACACAAAUCCAAUACCAAUAGCCAUCCACAAACAUGCCUCUUGCCUUGAGAAGAGCUUUUCCAACUGUGGGUUCUGGAAUUCUUUGAUCGAUGUUGGGCUGUGCCAAAAACCGAUUAGCGUAUACAAAGACAGACCAAGUAAUGACGGCAGAAAUGCCAAAGCUUAAAACAAAGUGAGAAACAAUCAUUCAAAAGCUACUAGGAAACCUUACCGCACUCCAUCUGUCAUCAAGAAAUUCAUUGAUGACAAGCGCAUUUUGUCCAUACGUCAUUGGAGAAGCAUAAUAUCCCCAUAUCAUCCAUGGUUCAAUAUCAUCUGAGUAAGAAGGAGAAACAAAUGGUUUAUUACAUUAUCACUCAUAUGAUAUAAUCACAUGAAGAGUGCCCCUUGUCUCCCUUUCCACUUGAAAUAUGGCAUCAGUGUUGCAAAAACAAUCUGUUGAAUUUUGACUUAGUAUUUGCUGGAAUUUGAAUUUUGAAUAUUGCAGCUGGAGUCUUGCACAAAAUCUGCAACAUCUAGAUAUUUUCUUAUUUUUAUUUGGUCAAGAUUUGGUUUCUAUUUUAUAGGAAGUAGUUGUUCAUCAUCUAGUAGCUUGAUUUUCUGCUAUUCUAAUGUCAUUUAAGUUACAAGUUCAUGUAUAAAUUCAGCAUUCUUCAUCAAUAAAAUUAGAGUUCCAGCAGCCCAAAAAUACAUAUUUUAUAUAAGUGUUUAAUCCAAAUACCAACAAAGUGGUAUCAGAGCCAUAGUUAUCUUGAGGGGCCAGUGAGGUGAGUGAACCCAAACACCUUCUAAAAUCAUUUAGCAAUGGAAGAGUCAAGUCUCACAGUUGCACCAUCAAUUCUUGAUGGAGACAAUUAUGAAACUUGGGCUGUUAGAAUGACAGUUCAUCUACAAGCACUUGAUGUUUGGGAAGCAGUGGAAGAAAAUUAUGAAGUUCCUCCCCUGGGAGCCAAUCCAACUGUGGCUCAAAUGAAGUUGCAUAAAGAAAGAAGGACAAGAAAGGCUAAAGCGAAAGCUUGCUUGUUUGCUGCAGUUUCACCAUCAAUUUUCAUCAAAAUCAUGAAAAUUGAUUCAGCUGCAGAAAUUUGGGAGUAUCUCAAGGAGGAAUACAAAGGAGAUGAAAGAAUCAAGAACAUGCAGGUGAUGAACUUGAUUCGAGAAUUUGAAAUGAAGAAAAUGAGGGAGUCUGAUGCUGUUAAAGACUAUGCUGCACAACUUCUUUCAAUAGCAGACAAAGUUAGGCUGCUUGGAAAAGAAUUUUCCAAUGAGAAGAUUGUUCAAAAGAUAUUGGUUACACUUCCUGAGAAAUAUGAAGCUACAAUUUCCUCUUUGGAGAAUUCAAAAGAUCUGUCAACUAUUAGCUUGACAGAAUUAUUACAUUCCUUGGAGGCUGUGGAACAAAGAAGACUCAUGAGACAAGGAGAUACUGCAGAAGGAGCAUUUCAAGCAAGAAUGCAGAAAAAUGCAGGCCAUAAAAAUGGAAAGGUGAACAACAACAAGUCGUGUGGCAACAACCAGAAAAAUGGAGUUUUUCCACCUUGUCCUCAUUGCAAGAAGACAAAUCAUUCUCCACAAAAAUGUUGGUGGAGACCAGAUGUGAAAUGCAACAAGUGUGGUAAACAAGGACAUGUGGAGAGGAUUUGCAAAAAUCAACAGCAGGAAGAAACUAAUGCAGUAGUUGACUAUUGUCAGGAGGAGCAAUUGUUUGCAGCAACGUGUUUUGCUAAUAAAAGCACCUCUAAAAGCUGGCUUGUGGAUAGUGGUUGUACAAACCACAUGACAAAUAAUCAAGAUCUCUUUAGAGAACUUGAUAGAACAACUAUUUCCAAAGUCAGAAUUGGAAAUGGUGAGUAUAUUCCAGUGAAGGGCAAAGGAACGGUUGCUAUCGAAAGCCAAACAGGUUUGAAACUCAUUUAUGAUGUUUUGUUUGUGCCUGACAUUGACCAAAACUUACUCAGUGUUGGACAGCUCGUUGAGAAAGAAUUUAAAGUUUAUUUUGAAGAUAGGAAUUGCAUUAUCAAGGAUGCUGAAGGCAAAGAGGUGUUCAACAUAAAAAUGAAGGGCAAGAGUUUUGCCUUGAAUUUACUGGAAGAUGAGCAUACUGCUAUUUUACAACAAGAUAGCACAACAAUGUUUUGGGACAGAAGGGUCGAGCACUUUCAUCAUGAUGAUGUGCUCUACAUGAAGAAAAAUCAAAUAGUUGAAGGACUUCCUGACUUAGAAAAAGAUCUUCCUAUAUGUGCUACUUGUCAAUAUGGGAAGCAAACUAAACUUCCCUUUCCAAAGAAAAUAUCCUGGAGAGCAACCCAAAAACUGCAACUGGUGCAUACUGAUGUUGGUGGAUCUAAAAAAAUGCCAUCCUUGAAAUGGAAUGCAAACAAUGUUUGGUGGAUCUCAAAAAAUGCCAUCCUUGAAAUGGAAUGCAAACAAUUUUGGGCUAAAACUGCAAGUAGAGCAGUAUAUUUUCUGAACAUAUUGCCAACAAAAGUGUUAAAGAAGCAGACCCCUUUCGAAGUUUGGUUUGAGUGUCUACGUGCAAGACUUGGAGUUUGCAUCUACGAAGUCAAGGAGGAGUGUUGAAUUUUGACUUAGUAUUUGCUGGAAUUUGAAUUUUGAAUAUUGCAGCUGGAGUCUUGCACAAAAUCUGCAACAUCUAGAUAUUUUCUUAUUUUUAUUUGGUCAAGUUUUGGUUUCUAUUUUAUAGGAAGUAGUUGUUCAUCAUCUAGUAGCUUGAUUUUCUGCUAUUCUAAUGUCAUUUAAGUUACAAGUUCAUGUAUAAAUUCAGCAUUCUUCAUCAAUAAAAUUAGAGUUCCAGCAGCCCAAAAAUACAUAUUUUAUAUAAGUGUUUAAUCCAAAUACCAACACAAUCAGCUCAGUGCAUAGCAAAAAGACACAAAACACUGACCUUUGGCUACAAUGAAACCACCCAGAACAAAAACCAGUAGCAAUGUAAAGGUACCAAGAGUGUUGGCCACAAUCUGUGUUCUUCCAAGUGCUGCAAUGAAGCGGAAGAGAGAUAGAGCCAUCUGAUGCACGCCAAAGAAUGCCAGUAAUUGACGGAAAAACCUGAACAUUUUUCAAGUCUUGGGUUGUCUUAGUUCCAUUUGUGAAUGCUAAAACAAGAGUCAGGAAGAAUGAGGUCCAUUCACAUACCUACUAGCAGAAGGGGCAAACCCAAUAGUGUAAUACGUGAGAAUGAUCCAUAUCCCUGACUCCAUGAGUGACAAGGGGAUCCUAAGGACCCAAAUUGGUAAUGCAAAAGCCCAUGCCGGGUAAAACAAGAAAUCCCUCUGCUUAAAAAACACUGGGAGCCUGAAAAGAGUCAAUGCAAGCUCUGCCAUUCCGUUAAACAUUACAUUUAUGAGACUAUAAAACAGAGCCCCAUAGAAUUUUACUCCAUCUUGCAGUUGGCCAUGCUUCAUUUCUGUUCUGAAGAACACUGUCAUGGCAAUUACUGACAUGAUUGUAAUCUGGGUUGUCUUGAAUAUGUAUAUAAAAGAGUUGCGCUUCAUCAAUAGCCACUCCCUGGCAAAGCAUGCCUUGAAGAGUUCCCAGUUGGAGAUUCCAUACUUUUCUGUCACCAAUGCUGCAGGAUGGGUUCUGCUCUUAUUGUAAGGGAUUCCAAGGUCGUCUGAAAGCUUCUGGCCAAUGUGGAAAGAGUUGAAAUGUUGUGCAAACUCGGGCACUGAGAUAUAUUUGUAAGGUUCAUUGUGUCUGAACCAGUAUUGUUCUUGUUCCUUUCUGGAAGUCACCUCUUGCAAGAAGUCUGCAACUCCUUUUCUUUUUGGGCAUUUGAAGCCCACGCUUUCAAAGAACUCAAGGAUGUUUUCACGGGGACCUUGGUACACAAUCUGACCCUCACAUAGUAAGAUAAUGGCAUCAAAAAGAUCAUAAGUUUCAGGUGCAGGUUGGAGAAGAGAGAUUAUCAUGGUUACUUCCAUGAUAUGAACCAUCUGCCUCAUAAACUUGACAAUCUGAAAAGUGGUGGAACUGUCCAGACCAGUUGAUAUUUCAUCCAUGAAAAGAGCCUUUGCUGGUCCAACCAACAUUUCUCCUGCAUUCAGUUUCAUCAGUCAUAUUAGGCUUUUGUGGAAUAUUAAAAAUCUUAAGAACAAGGAUUCCUCAGAAAGCAGACAAUUCAUAAUUGAUCAGUAGCUCAAUUCAAAUUGAAGGCAAAUGCUUUACCACUAAGUUGAAAGAAACAAUUGAUAUAGGACAUAAUCAAUGGAAAUGGGGCACAUACCGGUAGUAACACGCUUCUUUUCUCCACCAGAAAUGCCCCUUCUCAUAUCAUCUCCCAACACAAUGUCAGCGCAGAUGUCUAAUCCCAGCAUCUGUUACACAGACAAUGUCAAAGAGCGUAAAGCUUGGGAAUGUAACUAAUAGGCCAGGCACCAAAUGGAAAUGGAGGUGCAAACCUUGAGCACAUAAUCUGUAACCAAACUAGUUUCUUGGCCUGCCAUUGCUGUUGCUUUCAUGAAUGCAUCUAUCUCAGGAUCUGGCUUAAUUGCAGAUUCUUUUUCUCGUCUUGACAAUUCUGCUAGUAGUUCAUAUCUGGUUCCAACUCCCAAACAUCGUCCUGAGAAGUCCAACGUUUCCCUAACUGUCAUCUCACCAUGGUGCAGAUCAUGCUGGCUAAUGUAAGCACAUGUUCUCUGAGGAACAAACUCUGAUAAUUCAUGACCACAGUAUGUGAUUUUUCCUUCCAUCUGUCCAUAAACACCGCACACAACAGAUCAAUGAGUUCAGGAAUCGGGGACUAUCACCAUCACUAAAUAAUUCAGAAUUAAGGAACAGUCCGAGGACAUGGGCUAAAACUAGGGAAGGAAAUAACGAUGACACAGUGAAGGAUCGAAUUGGAUAAAAAUAUUUGUCAGAAUGUAAGUUGGGGGGACAGCAUACCCUUAGAUCUUUGUCCAUCUUCCCAGCAAGCGCCUGCAGCAGGGUAGUUUUCCCUGAGGCUGGAGGUCCCAGAAGCAGGGUCAUUCUGCAAAACACAGAAGCUAAUCAAGAAACCAGCAAAGAAAGAAAGUGUACUUAAUGGGAAAUUUUUUUGUUAUCCUAUUGAAUUUUCCCAGAAUAUGUAUCAAUCAAAUUAUCUAAAGACAUCAUUCAGGAGAUUUGUGUUAUGGGUAACAUGAUUGAUUGAAUGGUACUUCCAAAAAUGGAAUACAUUUACCUUGAUGGUUUCACGAUCCCACUCACAUCUUUUAGUAUCUUGACUACCCUUUUCUUGGAUGAGGAAAGCCUAAUCAGUCCAAGUAUUCCCUGUUCAUGACAAUAAAUAAACACAAUCAUACUUCAUUUAUCUCUACAACAGUCUUCUCAAUUGAAGCAAACAUCUCCCAAAAACAUUAUCAGGAGAUUGAAGUCAUUCAUUAUAAUUUGCUGAAAGGGAAAAUCAAGAAUCACCAUCGAAAACAGAAGAAGAAAAACAAAGGGACAAACAGAACAAACUACCUCUAUGAAGUUCAUGGUAGAAUUGAGCAGAGUAGGAAGUGCUCUGGUUCCAACAUAUGCGUCUCCUUCCACUGAUAAAUGCUCAAACCGGACUUCGAUUUUUGGUAUCUCAACCCCAACCCUGUUGAGCAAACAGAUGUUAUGUUUCAUAAAACUUUUCUGGUAACAAAUUCAACCGGGGCAAAGCCAAAAGCAAAAAAACACAUGACCAACAGGGUGAACUUCAUGGGAAGAAAGAGAGAAGAGUGACCUAUCAGUCCUUUCCCUGAGCCUGAGAAGGAACUUCUCAUUAUCUUCUUCAACAACCUUAAGUAUACUCUCUAUGAGAUGCUUCCUCUCCUGCAUACCAAGAUUGGUGAAGUCAACUUCUUCAUGGACAACCUUCCCAUCAUCCAAAACUUGCUUAAGCAUCCCCUUCCUCAACCGCUCAAAGGUUGGAAGCCUUUCAAUGGCCGCCCACUUCAACUCUUCCUCAUCAUCCUCUCUCCUACUCUGAAAAACAUCACCUUGUGCUGACAACACCUCAAGAAUACUCGCAGAAGCCCAACUUCGCCUACUUCCAGACGCUAAACUUUUGCGCCUGCUGCUCAUGGACCUUGCUAGAUCAUCCCCAGCCAAUGCUGCAGCCAUUGUCACCCACCAAAACCCCUCAGAGUAAAGACUCCAAACCCCCCUUUAUAAUAACCCUGGAAAGCUCAGAUUCAACCGAUGAGCUCAAGAUGCUAGAGAAGGUGUGGAUGAAAUGGUGAGUAGAUGAGAUUGAUGGGCAUGGAGUGAUGUAGGAGGUGAUGGAGACUGGAAAGCGGUAGAGAAGUGGGCAUUACUGAGUGGCAGAGGAGAGUCUUUUAUGACGUACAUGAAAUUUUUAUGUUUGAUCACUUGACAGUUCGGGAGACUUGAGAGUUGGCUGGUGAGACUUUCAUGCAUAUGGAUGCAAAUCUUUUUCGGCUUAAUUAUGGCUGGCAUAUAGUUUGGAGAGGGUAAGUGUGUUUUUGGUGUCUCCGUGUUAGCUUAACAACCACAAUAAAAAUAAAAUAAAAUAAAAACCUAAAAUUAAUUAAAAUUUCACCCACCCAAGAAAAAGAUAGUACAUGUGUUGUUAAAUGCUACUACUUUAAUAUUAUCCUUCACUUAAAAAUGUAUAAAAAUAACAAUUAUUUUGAAAUCACAUCAUACCAUUUCAAAAAUAAAAAUUUCCCUUACAUGUAAAGGUUUUUUUAACAAAAAUAAAACAUUUGACCCCUCUAAAAAAACAAUAUAAAUUUAAUUUUAAAAUUUUUAAAAAUAAAAAGUGAUGGUAACUAAAUAUUAUUACCACGACCGAACUAAAAUUAAAAAAUAAAAUAAAAUCUUCUUUAAUAUUUUUCAUACUUAUUUUUUCUUGUUUUUUUGAAUCUUUUUCUUGUUUAUGCUUAGUUUUUAUGAUUGGUUUAACUUACCAGAGAUAGUUAAUGUUAUCCUUAAUUUACAUAUUGAUAUUUAUCUAUUUAUUAUGUAUUAGUUUGAAUUAUAAUAAAAUAUAGAAUUUGAUUUAGAGUGAAAGUUUACUAUUAAAACCUACUCCCAAUCGUGUAGAUAUUAUCCGUUUUGGACCCAAAGGGGCCCUCUCAGCUUUAAAACGCGUCUAAUUGGUUAAGAGGAGUCUCUACAUAUAUAACAUUAGGAACUUUCUCUUAUAUCCGAUGUGGGACAUCACAAACACUUCUUAUGCAAACACAACGUUUGUAACGACCCGCUCCCAACUAUGUAGAUAUUAUUCGCUUUGAACCCAAAGGGGCUCUCACGACUUUAAAACGUGUUUACAGGGUUAAGAAAAGUUCAUGCUUAUAUAGUGCUAUGAACUUUCUCCCCUAUUCGAUGUGGGAUGUCAUAAACAUCCCCCUAUGCAGACACAACGUCCUUGUUGUGUCCUACGAGAUUGUGGGGCCAAACAAACACCCUUACGGGACUAAACAAACCCCACACCGAGGUCGGGGAUCAGCUUUGAUACCAUUUGUAAUGACCCGCUUCCAAUCGUGUAGAUAUUGUCUGCUUUGGACCCAAAGGGGCCCUCACGGCUUUAAAACUCGUCUACAGGGUUAAGAGAAGUCCAUACUUAUAUAGUGCAGGGAACUUUCUCCCUUAUCCGAUGUGGGAUGUCACAAAAUUUUUGUAAUGGCCCGCUCCUAACCGUGUAGAUAUUGUCCACUUUGGACCUAAAGGGACCUUCACGGCUUUAAAACGCGUCUAUAGGGUUAAGAGAAGUCCAUACUUAUAUAGUGCAAGAAAUUUUCUCCCAUAUCCGAUGUGAGAUGUCAUAAACACCCCCCAUGCAGACACAACGUCCUCGUUGUGUCCCACGAGAUUGUGGGGCCAAACAAACACCCUUACGGGACCAAACAAACCUCACACCAAGGUUGGGGAUUGGCUCUAAUACCAUUUGUAAUGGCCCGCUCCCAACCCUGUAGAUAUUAUCCGUUUUGGACCCAAAGAGGCCCUCACGGCUUUAAAACGCGUCUACAAGGUUAAGAGAAGUUCAUACUUAUAUAGCGCAAGAAACUUUUUCCCCUAUCCGAUGUGGGAUGUCACAAACACCCCCCAUGCAGACACAAUGUCUUCGUUGUAUCCCAUGGGAUUGUGGGGCCAAACAAACACCUUUACGGGACCAAACAAAUCCUACACCGAGGUCGAAAAUCGGCUCUGAUACCAUUUGUAAUGGUCUGCUCCUAACCGUGUAGAUAUUAUCCGCUUUGGACCCAAAGGGGCCUUCACGGCUUUAAAACGCCUCUAUAGGGUUAAGAGAAGUCCAUACUUAUAUAGCGCCAUGAACUUUUUCCCUUAUCCGAUGUGGGAUGUCACAAACACCCCCCUAUGCAGACACAACGUCUUCGUUGUGUCCCGCGGGAUUGUGGGGCCAAACAAACACCCUUAUGGGACCAAAAAAUCCCCACAUCGAGGUCUGAGAUCGGCACUGAUACCAUUUGUAACGAUCUGCACCCAACUGUGUAGAUAUUGUCCACUUUGGGUCCAAAGCAGACAAUAUCUACACGGUUGGGAACAGAUCGUUACAUUGAAUUGUAGUAGAACCCAAAUAUAUUUAUAUAUAAAUACUUAGCAUCAUUAAUGAGAAUAGUAUGUCAUAUUUUCUUUAUCUAUAUGAUAUCAAAGCCUUGAAUUCUAAACCCUAAUUCAACUUAGAGCAAAUUUAGGGUGCAAGGCUCAGGCCCUACAUGCCUCCCCCUACCCUUACCGCAAAUCGUAGUGACCUUGCUAUGCCUAUGUAUUGAAUGUAGUAUUUUGAAAUACAUUUUCAUAGCCAAGAACUCCAAUUUUUCUUAGUUCAAACCUACUAGAAGUUUCUUCUCCUUUGCUUCCACUUGGUUCCUUUAUUUAACAUAUAUUUUUUUUAUUCCCUUCAACUCUACCUUUCUCUCUUUCUUUAAAACCUUCAUCAAAGAUAUAUUUUCUUUAUUUAUAUAACUAAAUCAUAAAAAAAAAAAUACUUGUUAAGUUUUUAUUAACUAAUAUUUUUACCUGGAAGUAGGAAUAUAAUGUGAAUCGAUCAAAGUUUAACCAUUAAGUUGCAAGUGUUUAAUGAUUUAUUAUAAGUUUUAAGUGAAAGACUUUACUUUCGAAGAUAGUCCAUUAUUUGAAAAAGAAAAAAAGCUAAGAUAUUGAUUUUGUAUCUAUGAAAAUUUUGGAUACCCGAAUAUAAUGCUACCAAUAAUUGUACUAAUGCACAUAUGUCUCUCUCCCAUCAAUCGGUACUAGUUAAAGUAAUGGAAAUUCCCAUAUUUGUUUGAUGAGAAAUUCGAAAGAAAAAAUAUAUAUAAUAUAAAUAAAAUAUAAAUAAAAUAUAAAUAUAAAUUAAGAAUAAGCAUCCCCUGUAGAUAAAUAAAUCUUUUUUUUUUUUUUUAUUGGAUCCGUCGGGACUGACGGGGCUCGAACCCGCAGCUUCCAUACCCGAUUCAUAACUAGAAAGUUUCUCUGGUCCUUUACUAAUCGGAGCUAAAACUCUGGAAAAUUUUAAUGUCCACUUUUGAAAGCAUAUAGAAUUCUAAGUUUUUUGAAUGUAAGUAUAAAAAAUGAAGUAAGGUAUAAAUAAAUAAGAUUAAGUUGUAAGACAAUGAGAUCUAAAGACGUUAAACAAAAAUGAUUGAAUUCUUUAAAAUAAUUUUAAAUGUUUUUUCUUUAAAAUGACUAAAAUUAUUGAAAAUUUAUAAUUAUUUUUCUUUUAAUUUUUUUAAUUCUUUUAUUUUUUAUAUAUCUAAAAUCUAAAACUUUUUUCAAUGUUCUUAAUACCAUGUUGUUUAAUUUGAUACAUUUUUAUAAUUAAUAUUUAAAAUUAUUUAAUUUUUUUAAUAAUAAUAUAAAAUACUAUUAAUUAGCUUACAAUUUAUAAAUGAUAACUAUAACAUUUUUCUUGGAUCCCUCUUAACAAAAGUCUCUGGCUCGGCCAUUGGUUCACGAGUCUCCCAAUUUCUAUCCAACUUUUAUCUUAUUAUUUUGUAUUUUAAUUUUAUUAUUUAUAUGGGAGUUUUAUAUAUUUCUUAGUAUAUACUUAGAAUAGAUUAAUUUAGAAAGUUGGUAUGUGGCCCAGAAGAGAGGCAAUUUGGACGGCCAACGUGGCAUAAAUGCGUCAACUUGACUGACAAAUCACAUUAAACCCUUAAUGCCCAUGCCUUCCCAACUGCCUCCUGCUCUGAUUGAUAUUGAGUGGAAGUAAAUGCUCUAUUAAUAUCCCCUUCUAUGAUUUUGACUUUCAUUCAUUACACCCCACAUUUCUCAAUCCAACAAAUGUCGACAUGACAGAAGUAGAGAAAAUUAAAAUCUUCAUCUAAACAUCAUGUACGGGGAAUAAAUUCCCUAAUUAAAAUUUCUUGACCCCAAUUAUUCACGGAUUUUUUAAAUAAAAAUGUUAUUUUAAAAAAUAUUAUUAAAAUAUAGUUGCAAAAAUAUGAUGCUUUUUAACAUAUUUUUUUAUUUAUAUCCUAAAUUUAUCUUUUCAAAAUAUCAAUUCACUUUUUAAAAAAUGAUUUUAUUUUUUGUACUGUAAGGAUCAGUCAUAUUUUUACCUUAGAACAUUUUAUAUUGAAUUGGACUUUUCAAAAAAUGAAAAGACGAGUUCUACUUGUAAUUAAAAAGUGUUGCAAAUUUAAAAUCAUUUUUUAUAUUACGGUUAUUUAAAAAAUGCACUACUCUUGUAGAAAUCUCAAUUAUUCACCUCAUCAAACAAUUUUGAAAAAAAAAUGUCAUGUUUAAAUCUAGUUUUUAUUUUUAAGAUCAGGCAAGAACCUAAUGUUUUAAAAGCCUAACUAAUUAAAAAAACAAACCAUAUAUUAUAAAUGGAGUUUUUUGAAUUAGUUUUUAAAAAGAUGUGGUGAAUAAGUAACCUUAGAAUCCAUUUUUGGUAGUGAUUUUAGAAUACUUUUUUAACACAAAAAGUGUUUUUGAAAACAAAUUAGAUGGUUUAAAAUUUUGUAAAAUCACUUAUAUCAUUAAAAAAAUCAUUUAUAACAUUUUCUAGAAAAACAAUUGAUAAAUGAUUUUUCUAAAAACAUUUCUAGGUAGAAACAUUGCGAAAUACAGUAUUAAUUUAUUACUUUUUUUUAAAUCUUUAUAAAAUGAAUGAAGAAACUUUUCAAGCAAACAAAUUAAUACAAAUAUUAUUAAUAUAAAAUAAGUUGGAAAAAAAAGGGAAAAAUCGAUGCAUCAAAUUUCGUUUGAUUUGUAAUCUUUUCGUCCAAUGAGCAAUCAUCUUUCAUUUCUCAUUUAUAUAUAAAUAUAUAUAUUUUUAAAUUUUUUCAAAACAAAUGAAUUCCAAUGGGAAACUUAUGCAUUAGAUUCUUUAAUGAGCUUAUUAACUUUUAGAAAUGAUUUGAAAUCUAGAGCAGUGUAAAAUCCUAUAAAUAAUUGAGGAGUAUAUGCAUGUGUGACAAAAAAGUUAAUUUAUUUACAUAAAUUAGCGUUCUCCCUCUUUCUCCUUUUGUUUGAGAUUCAACGAAGUCAACAAGUACAUAUGUUGACUAAUCAGCUUUGGUCAUGAUCAAUACACGAAAUAACCUCGCAAUUUCCUUGUAUUUAUGUUUCUGUGAAGUCCAAAUUCAUUUAUUACUCAAAGCAUUAAUUUCAGAAAAUAAUAAAUAAUAUUUGUUUUUUAAGAAUUUUUCUAUUCCAUUGAAAAGCCGAUUUUUCAAUAUAAUAUAAAAAUAUGGUAAUGCAAGAAAUAUUGUUUGAUCCUAUUUCUUUGAACCUGUGUUGUUUUUAUUUUUCAUAUCAAAAACUCAAAUCUUAAGUUAGACAUUGUAUUGAAGGGGCAACAUAAAAUCUUUAUUAUUCACCUCAACUAAGUGUUAUUUUUUAUUUUUUAUUUUUUAUUCUUUUAUUUCCCAAUUUGCAGAUCUAAGAGGUUGGAUUUGAAACUAUUGGGUAAGACAUAAUCUUGGUUUUGUUAAAAAAAAUAAAAAUAAAUAAAGAAUAAGAAAUAAAGAUUAAAAAAACGCAUGAGAAUCCAAUUGAGAAAGUAAGAAUUUUCAUUUUCUAAAGCCCGCAUGCAAUUUGGGGUGCUUGAAUGAACUUGAUAUUGAAUUUCAUUUCCAACAAAGGAAUUUAGGUUCAUUUGGAAAAAAAAAAAAUCAUAAAGAAUAUGAAAAAUAAAACAAAUUAUUAUGGGGAUAAAUUAUUGUCAUAAAAAAAAUAAAGAAUUGAGGUAAGAAAUUCAGAGAAAGUGAACUCAUGAAAGUAUAAAUUUCCAAUAACCUUUAUUUAAGGUUAUAAUCGUAAUGAGUACAAUAAAUUAUUCUCUAGAUUUAUUACAACGGAUAAAUUGGUAUUAAAAAACAAUAGGGAUACUAUAGAAAACAUAGAUCUUGAGAAUAAAACUACAUACUUUGAUUCAGAUGUUCCUGGAUCGAUUUCGGUUGAUAUAGAUAACUCCAAAGUAGUAAUGAAUCUCAUAAACACCAUGAUCUUCAGUCCGAUGACUCUUCCUUGUGUUGAUGAUGGAGAUCUCAAGGGUGGAGGUUAGGGUUCUCUCUUUAGAUUGAAGGGGAGAAAGACAAGACAUAAAAACCUUUACCCCUAAAGGGGUAUUUGUAGGUUUCUUACUAGGCUUAAGUGCCUUAAGCCCACCAUGGACUUGGGUUACUUAAUCUAGCCUAAAAAAGGUUGCUAAUUGAUUAAUUAACCAUACAAUACCCUAAUCAAUCAAUUAACCCAGUCCAAAGAUACUACUCACUUAUCCUUGUGCAAUCUUAUGUAAUUACCAAAAUACCCUUAUACAUAAAGUGAACUAAAAACACAUUCAAUCCUUAUAAACCGCGUCAUCAAGGAAUAUGAGCUUAGAAAGGGGGCCAUUGAGACCCAUAGGAGUACUAGCUCCCUUACAAUUAAAUUUUGAAAUUGACUCAAUAUCCUACUAUAGAGAGUCAACUACACUCCAGUACCCUAUCUAUAUUACAACGAGACACCAAGUACUCUAGUUCAUGACUUACUAUCCAUUACAUACAGGCUCCCUAUGAACUAGUCCAUAAUCUAACAAGGUAGUGUUAUCACUUAUUAAGAUUACCUAUCAAAUCUUUUAGUUAUAGAUCUCACUUAUUCUAUGAUCAAAUGAUAUACUCUAACUUUAAGGAGCAUAUGUCAAAUUCCAUUAAAGGAAUUAUUAUGUCCACAAAUUUCAAGAUCAUUGGCAUUUGGAUCACCCAAUGGGAUACACUAUUUCAAUCCCAUGAGAAAUCAUGGUGCCUCUAUUGAGAAUACCUGUUGCCACUAGCCUCCAUCAAGAGUGAUCCAAUCCAUAGGGAUAUAUAACCACUUUAGGGUUUUACCUAUAGGUCAAAGCCUCUUGUUGAUUUUGGCAUAGACUCAAUAUCCUCUCAAGGUUGAAAGUUCAUGUAAUACAAUAGCUUGGUGAAUUAAGACAAUUGGUAGUCUUACCAUGAUUCACCCUAAGUUUUGUUCAGUGUGCAUUAGAUACACUAGUGCACUCACCAUGGGAAACUCAUCUCGACAGUUAAGACAAGUCAUCCCUCAAAUUAGGAGGUAGUGCACUACGAUCUCUACUAGAUUACCCAAAUCCAUGAACCAAUUGUGGACAACUUAUCUACUUACAAAGAACCCAUGACUUGUAUAUUCUGUGCAACUCCUAAUGCACCUAAGUCAUGUAUAAUGUAAGAGACAUAAACUGAAUACUCAAAUCAAUGUCAAUACACCAAAAGGAUAGCAAGAUGAUAGCUAAGUUUAACUUUGUUACACUAUAUCUUGGUUUCAAGGGCUCAAUCCCAACAAACUCCCACUAGUCCUAAAAACAAACUAGGCAACGUAGAAAAAAUUAUGCUUCAUAGUCUCAUCACCUCUCAAUACUAUAUCACAAUAAGGUAACACUUUUUCUUUAUGUGUUUUCUCUUUUAAUGGUACUUUAGUUCUUUAGACCAUGCCACUGUCCCAUUGUUAUCACAUAUCAGGAUCCUAGACAAUAUAGCUAAGGGAACUAGCCAUAAGCCAAAAGGCUUCCUUUGUUGCUAUAGAAAUAACAAAAAACCAUUUAAAGUAUACACAUACUUAGAGGUAGACAUACGAGAGUUCCUAUCAAAUUGAAGUUCAAUUUCUCGGUAAGAAAGGAGUACCAACUCAUCGCAAAGACUCACAAACAUAUAAGCCUUUAUUCUUUAAAGAUACUAGAGUAUAUGUUUGACAUCUGCCCAAAUCUCUAAUAAGGAAAUUGACCAAUAUCCACUCAUUAUUCCUAUAACAAAACAAAUAUCUGGUCUAACACAUAGUAUUGCAUACUUAAGGCUACCCAUUACAAAGGCAUUGAAUAUCGCCUUAAUGCUAUCUUUCUCCAUAGAUAUCCAAGGACAUUGAUCCUAAGAAAGACAACUCCAAAUCUAAAGAGUAAUAAACAUUCCUAGAGUUUUGCUUCAUGUACUUGACCAAACGCUUAUCUAUGUAGGUGACAUGACACAUUUUUCCUACUCUUGCAGUCUUAAAAGACCUUAGCCCCAAGGAUAUAUUGCGUCUUCCUCUAAAUUUUCAUCUAGAACUGAGUAAACUACUAGAUCUUAAUUGAUGACAAUAUUUCUAUAUCAUAUCCAAUGAGUAUAUUGUUAUCUACCUACAAGAUCUUAGAGUAUCACCACUCUUCCUUGUACCUUCUUAUACACACAAGACCCUUUGUUAUGAAAAUGUUUAGUUGUUGUAUCUUACAAACGAGACACACUGCAAUAGAUAUGAGUAAUCUAAUGGAUUUGAGUAUGACCACUGUUAAAAAGGUUUCCCAUAGUUGAAAGAAAGUUUCAAACUAUAACCUUUUGCUAUAGUCUUAACCACAUAAAACUCAAGCUUUCCAUCUACUUCUGUGUUCCUCUUGUAGACCAACUUACACCUAUAGGUUUUAUCCUCUUUAAGUGCUUCUAUAGAAAUCCAACCUAUGUUAGAACUACCUCUUCAUAACUCCUUACCUUAAGUGAGGACAAACACUGUUCACCACUUCAUCAUAAUCUAUAAGAUAUGAACCUCCCACUAUGAUGAGGCACUAGUGUAUUAGAAAUAAUGGGAAUGGUAUGUUUUGAAACCUCUGGAUCCAUAGUAUCCUAUGCAAUGUGGGAUUAUCUUAUAAUAUAUCCUCCAAUAUGUAUCACUUUUUGCCUUUUUCCUUAUCAUAUAGUCUUCAUAAAAAAUAUGACAUUUGUGUCAAGAAAUAUCUUUUGGUGAUCUCGACUAUAAAGGUAAUAACCCAAAAAUCCUCCUAAAUAUCCUAUAAACUAAUAUACCUCUUAAGAAAAAGAGGUAUUACACAGUGUAUAAGACAUAUCCCUAAAAGAAUUCGGAAAAAUAUGAAAAACCUAUCCACGAUCUCACUAGGACCAACCAAGUUUGAUAUCUUCUAUCCACUUCUCCAUUUUGUAAUAGAGACCCUGGUGCACAUGCCUAGGAAAUAAUCUCGUGCUCCAAUGAAAAGAAUUAAACUUAUUAGACAUAUCACCUUGAUCUAAUCGAAGUGACUUGGUAUUUAUAUCCAAUAGGUUAUCUGAUCCUACCUUAAAUUCAAUGAAUAUAUCUAAGGCAUCGAAUUUCCUAUGUAAAUAUCCAAACCUAGAGUAAUCAUCACUAAAAGUGAUAAAAUACCCAUACCCUUCCCAUGCAUGGACACUAAAAGUUCCAUACAUGCUAGUAUGCACUAACUCCAAACAUUCCUUGGCUCUAGUCCACUUGGUCAUUUUUCCAUCUAUAUAGGAUUCAUAGACUGAAAGAUCUUCUAGAAUCAAAGAGUCCAGACUUUACUAGUCUUUGGAUCUUAUUUAGAUUAAUAUGACCUAGGUUUAGAAACCAAAUGUUUAAUUAGUGCUAGGUUUAAUAAUGAGAUUUAACUAUUCUCAUCACUUGACAAAGUAAUAAUGGAAUACAUAUAAAAGACGAGAAUAUUACCUUUCACUAGUCUGCAUAGCUAACCUUGCAUUUGAAGCUAAGUUAAAUAUAAUCCAUCAUUUAACCUUCUCACUUGUUGAAUAUUCUAUAAGGACUUAUAAACAAUGGGCCUGGAAUCUAUCUACCAUAAAUGGUGAAAUCUACCACUAAAUAUUCAAUAACGAGAAAAUGAUGUAUGCUUUCCUUGUUCCUUAAUGUAAAUUGGGCAUUCCUUUUCUAGAGUCCUAAAAUGUCAUAAAGGAAUCACUUUCCUUUGAGCUUGCUCUCUUAUUCUUUCUCUCUAACUUUCCUUAUUUGGUGUUAUUCUUCAUUUUCUUGAGAGAAGAACCUAAAGAACCUUUGACUUUCAUAUGUACACUCUAUAAUUUUUAAUAAUCCCUUUAGCCAUCCCGAAGGAAAAUGACAAGGUCUCUAAGAUCAUAUAUAUGAAUACUAGUGUUCAUAACAGUCCUAAAAGUAGCUUGUCAAUGUUGUCCUACCAUUAUCAUCAUUCCAAACUAGAAAGUGUAUAUGAAAGUCUUUAGUAAUAGAGAUAUGUUGCUAUUGCAACACAUUAUCCAAAGAUCCAAGUGUUACACACUUGGUCUUCUAAUACAACCUUGAGAUACCACUCUUUCCUUUUGCUAGGUUAGUUCAUAAGGAAUAGUUAGCUCUACCUAAACUAGCUUCUAUGUAAUUACUUGUUAUAUCCAUAAUGAAAUUAGUCUAAUUAAUUAGUUGGGCUUGGCUUAUUGUGAGAAAGAGAGUGAUAAUAUAACCAACAUGAUAUCUGUAAAAAAGAAUAUAAUCAAGCAUAUGACAUAAUUUAGCAUUUAUGGGAAUUGGUAAUAAAUUUAGCAAAAAUGUAGUGUUCUCAAACUACAUGUCAUUUUGUAUAUUAGUAUCAUAAAAAUCAAGUCUACCUUAUUAAUAGUUAAAGACCUUCUUAGAUUGAUCUCAUUGCCUUAAGUAUAAAGGUAUCUAAAGGCAUGAUCAACAUACUUUUUAUUUGGCCUAUGGACUAUGCAAGUAGGACCGUGUGAAGCUAUUCUACCACUUCAUAUCCAAUGUCAAGUUGUGGACCCACAUUUUCCAUGUGCGUUCCCACUCAAACGGCUAGACUUGUUUUUUUUUUAUUUAUUAUUAUUAUUAUGAAAAAUUGAUUUUUUGAAAAAGACUUGGAGUUGUAACUUAUUUUUGUUUUAUUUUUUAAAAGGGGAAACAAAAUAAGAAAAAAAAAAGUCCUAUGUGAAUCUUUAUUUGGAAAAGACGUGUAUGCAAAAACUGAGUUUGAAUUUGGGAAUCAAGUUACCUAUCAGGAAGGUACGGUAGUGUGUCAUAGCACCCCUCUAAGAUUGUAUACAUACGACCUCUACUAAAUGAAUGAAGGGAAUUGUGACAAUUAAUUAAUUGAUCAUGGAUACCGAGAAAAAGAACCACAAAUAAAUAUAUACAAAUCAUUGCGAAAAUCAAUAUAUACAAAAAUAAUGAUGAAAUCAAAAUACAAGUAUAUACAAAAUAAAUGACAAAGAGAUUAUGCAAAUCGAUUUAUUGAACUAAUUAAAAAAAUAUAUUCAAAAAAAUUAUUUUUUAAAGACAUUUCAAAGGAUUUUAUUAAAAAAAAAAGAAACAAUUUUGAAUUAAUGAUUUCAAUUUAAUUAUUUACAAAAAAAAAGUGUCAAUUUAUUUUCAAUAAAUGCUUUGAUUCAACUUUAUUUGUUUUCAAUUUUUAAAAAGAGUUAUUUACCCUUAUUGUAUCAAAAGAACUUAUUACAAAAUUUCAAUUUGGUAACAAAUUUUUACUUGUUUUUACUAGAAAUGAAUGAAUUUUUACAACUAUAUUUACAAAAGUAUCUUAGUUUGAUUUUUCAUUUAAGAAAAGUGAUUUAUACAAAUUAUUUAUAAUAAAUAAAUAACUUUAUUUGCAAAAGAUUUUUUUUUUUUAAAAAAAAGAAAAGACUUUUAUAGGUUUAUUUACAAAAAUGUUAAAAUUCAAUCCAAUUUUAAUCGAAAAGUGAAUUUUCACAAAAUUAUUUACAAAAGUGUCUUAACCCCUUUUUUAUUUAUAAAAAAUAAUUUAUUAUUUGGUUUCAUUAAAAAAAAUUUAUUGAAAAAGAGAUUUUAUCUUUAUUUGAUUUAAAGGUAAGUUAUUCAAUUUUAUUAGAACUUAAAAAAAUAAAAUAAAAUAAAAUAAGUCUUAAAGAUUUGAACUUUACAAAUAAAUAAAUAAAUACCAAAGUUAAAGAAAAUCAUUUUUUCAUAUUUUAUUCACAAAAGCAUUCCAAUUUGAUUUUUGUUUUCUUUUAAAAGGAUUUUUUUUAAGAAAAAAAGGAAAUUUACAUUUUCACAAUUUUAUUUGAAAAGAAUUUAAUUUAUUUUUAUCAUUAAAAAUAAACAAGUAAAAAUAAGUAAAUAAAUAAAUAAAUAUGCUUAUAAAUUGCUUAGAAGAUUCAUGAAGAUUUUUUUUUUUUUUAAAUAAUUUUGUCUAAAAAAAAUUACAAUUUUAUUUGCUUAAAUAAAAAUAAAAUUAAAAGCUAAAAAGAAGAUUUUUUUUUGAAUUUUAUUUCAAAAAUAGAUUUAUCUUAAAAAUAACAUAAAAUUAUGAGUUUGUCUAAAAGAUUGAAUUUUUACAAACCUUUACUAAAGACAAAUUUUUACAAUUUUAUUUAAAAGGAAAUUUUCCUUUAAAAAAAAAAUGAAGAAAAAUCUGCACAAGUUUUAUUAAAAAAAAAAAAAUUGUUCAUAAAGAAAAUAUUAUUCCAAUCUUAAUUUUAUUUAAGGGAGAUCUUUACAAAUUAUUUGGAAAAAGUACAUUUACAAAAUUAUGUACAAAGUAGGUAUUUAUUUAGGGAUGAUUAUUUACUUGACUUUUAUUGAAAAGGAAUAAAAUAAUAAUAAUAAUAAUAAUAAUAAUAUCUAAAAAAGGAUUUUACCUAACUUUAAAAAGAUAUUUUUUAAAAACUUUAUUUAAAGAGAUAACUUUGCCUAAGAUAAUAACAAUAAUAAUAAUAGAAUAAAAUUAUGACUUUAAGGGUUGAAUUUUUUAUUUACUUUUAAUAAAGAUAGAUUUUUGUAAUUUUAUUUAGUGAUAACAAUAAAUCAGGCUCCACCAACUUCUACCCAUGCCAAUACCUUGCUUCAACCACCCCAACUACUCAUAUUUUGCUCUUCCCACUCUCAACACAAUGACAAAAGACAACCUAAUCGUAAGAAAACCCAAUAUGAAUGAACUUCAAUAACCCAAAUCAAUAAUGCAUAAAGCCAAAUACAAAACAAUAACCCGAACAACAAAGCCUAAAUAGAACAAAUACAUCAAACACAAGUCCAAUUAAAUGAAAUUCGAGCCUAAAUUCGUAAAUGAAUAUUGUAGAAAUUAAAUAACAUAACAUAAAAUAAAAGUAAAAAAUAAAAGAAACAAAAUAAAAUUAAAUUAAAACUUACCUAUCUCCCAAAGCCGUGUAUAGAGAUGUAGCAACAAUGGGAGAUCGGUAGCCAUGGGGAGCGAAAAAUGAGAUAGAGGCACGCCUAUGGCGAGACAUAAAGGACAAUAAAAGAAAAAAAAAGGAAGAGAAGGAAUAAUAUAAAAAAUAAAUAAAAGAUAAGAAAAAGAGAUAUGCGGGAUGAAGUGGCCGGAGAAAGGUCAACGAUUGUGGGGUUGUCGGUGAUUAGUUGCCAUCGGCGAUGACCGUGGGCCAAUGCUCCCGCCAUUGGAGAUGCUGUGGACGAGAAAUAAGAAAGGACAGAGAAUAAAAAUAAAGAGAAAAGAAAGAGGAAAGAAAAAGAAUGGGAAAAAAAUAAUAAUCAAGGAUCAGUGAGUGGAGAAGAGAAUAUGGGAGAAAGGAAGAAGAUAAAAGAAAGUGGGAGAAAGGAAAGGGAAAGGUGAGGUGGCAGGUAUGGAGAGGAGAGAGAGAAGUUAAGGAUUUAGGGUUUUUUUUUUUAAAGAAAAAAAAAAAGAAAAUGGAUGGUAGGGAUGGGGUCUAGAGAUGAACGACCAGUAUUGGUUCUCUAAAGUAAGAAAUGGGCUUGGAACUUUGGCCCAAAAUGCAAAACAAAAAGGCCCACCAAAUUUAGGGGUCUACACAAGUGUAUAACCAUUAUCCUCGAACUAUCAUUGUCACCAAAUAAAGAACCCCACCAUGGGGGUGGUCACUCUCACUAUAGAUAUAUCUAGUUUUCUAUACACAAUUCCAAUUAAUAAAUAUUUUAUUUAGGAAAUGUUUCAAAGAAAUUUAUUUCCAUCAAAUUACUAAAUCUUUUGGUAGUAAUAUUUUAAUGAUAAAUUAUUUCUAAUGAAAAUUUUCAAAACAUUUAUUUUCCAAAAUGGAGACACUUGUAUAAUAAGGAAAUUGCCAAUUUAUGAGAUUUUGAAUAAUCUUGAGAGCACCUUAUCUAGGAAAGGAAUUUUUGCUUCUUAUAUUUAAAAAUCCUCAUAAGAUUAACUUUUCUUAUUCCUUACACUUUUCUAAUUUAAUAAAUAUUUCCAUGGAAAUUUCAUAAUAAUUUAUUCCAUUAAAUACUACCAAAAAUAGAACCUUUUAAUAAUUCCUUAAUAGAUAAAAUAUUCUCUAUGAAAAACUACCAAAAAUGUUUAUUUCCAAAAAUGAAUUAAGCAAUCCUUUUUCAAAAGUAUUUUCAAAAUAUUUUAUAUCUCCAUUAAAUUACUAAAACUUUCCAAAGUUAUUUUGGUAACCCUUCUUAUUAUAAAUUCUCGAUCAUAAGAUUUUUCAAAUCUAUUAUUUACUUUUAAACUGAGACUCCUGUGUUAAAAGAAUUGUUCUCUUAUUUUUUAUCAUUAAACUAUCCAAACGAAAUGGUUUUCUUCUUCUCUCUAGUGGGGAGAGCUUGGAUGACCAACCAUAGGUAUAUUUUUCCUUCUUUCACCGAGAAAUAACAAAAAAACCACCUAAAGUUUAAUAAACAGAUAAUCAUAAAGAAAUAACAAUCUUCUUAGCAACAACCAGCUUAAAUAGAUAAUCUUAAAAAAAUAUCUUCUCAUGAAAAUUUAAGAAGAAUACCAAAAAACUUUUCUUUGUGUUCUAAUACUUAUUUUGGUAACCAUUCUUAAUUAUAGAUUAUCCAUUAUGAAUUUUCAAAUUAACUUAUUUUUUUAAAAUUGGAAAUAGGAAAAAUACUAUUUUAUAAAGAUAUGAAAAAAUAAGAGUUUUUCCUUAAAAAAAAAAAAAAAUUAUUCUUAGAGAUCUCAAAGAUUUGAGAAUAUUUUAAAAAGGUAAGAAAGCUCUCAAUCGUUUUUCCAACUUAUCUUUUCUUUAAAAUAAAAAUUCCUAACCAUGCACAAUCCAAUUUAAAUAAGUUUUCCAAUUUUUUUUUUUAAAAACAUAAAAAUUUAUUUCCAAUUAAGAAUACCAAAAUAUCUUGAGGCCACAUAUGCAAUUAAUCAAAAGCAUAUAAUAAAAACAAGGGAAUAAAAAAAAUAAAAACUUUUCUCAUAGCCUUUAGGGAUCUUGUUGCAUAUUUGAUAAUUAAAAUUUGGAUAAAAUCCAAAUUACCAAAAAUAGUCCUACAACCAAAAAUAAGGUUACUGAAAAUAGAAAACCCAAAAGGCCCAAUUGCCACCAAAAUGAGCCCAAAAGGAGAGGAAUCAAAUUUAGUCUGAAAAACCAAAAAGAAUUGGACUCGUAUGCAAUCCUGUAACAACAUGCUCUUUGUGCAACAUUGCUUCAAUGGACUAUAUCUCCCUUGUUUCAACUCCAAAUUGCAAUUUGCUUGAACCAUUGGAUUCGUGACCUCCUAAGAUUCAAAUUCAUAUGUGGCCUGCCCCAAGAAACUACUAGGAGAUAGUUGUGAUUUUGAGUUUAAGUUAACGUCAUUGUGUUGCCAUGGAUCUCAAACCAAGAACUUCCAAGAAAGCUUCUUUUUUCUUUAGCUACCAUAGAAUCUCAAAAGGAACUUUCAAGAUUCCUUCUUUUCUCUUGGGUCACAUAAUCAGGAAUGGAUAUAAAAAAGGCUACUAGGCUCCUUUCUUUCUUAUCACAUCCAACCCUUAUCGAUAGCCCCCACUAGGACAUUCAAGUAAGUCGGGUUUUGAUCUGAUUCCAAAAUGAGGCAGUGUUACCAAUGACUCGAUACCCCGCUGCUACUGAAUGAAGUUCGUCCUUCUCUCAUUUCCCUAUAAUAAGAUGUUGACCUCCGUAGAUAAAUGCCCCAUAUAACCUCUCAUCUCCGGGGUUGGGUUGAAAGAACAAUCAAACUGGGUUAAGAGAAGUUUAUGAAUCGAGUGAAAAUGAAAAAUAAAAAUCGUAAAUAAAAAUGGGCCAAGUGUGUGAUGCAAAAACUGAAAAUUUUACAACAAUUAAAAAAAAUAAAAAAUCCUAUGCUCUUUUAAUGGAGUUUGCAACCCAUCUAUUGAAAAGAAAAGAUUUUUACAAUAAAAUAAAAAUCUUAUACCCCUUAUGGGGUGUACAACCCAAUCUAGAGAAUCAAAAGGCAUAAAUCAUAUCCAUUUAUAUUCCUUCAAAUGAAUAAAUAAUAAUCCAUCACAAUUAUAAUCAUAAUCAUCGUAUUGACAUUCAUUCAAUUGAACAAAUAAAUGUAUCCCAUUCAUUCAUCUAUUUAGACCAUGGGAUGAAUAAAACAACCCUGUAAAAUAUAGUGAACACACCUUAGAACAGAUCUAACAUGCUAAAACCUACCCUAGGGUUCUGAUACUAGUUGUUGGGAACCUCAAAUUACUCUAUUCCCAUGCCCUAGAUCACGUAGGGUGCGUGCAAAUAUAUCAUAGGCUCUUUAAAUCUAUCACAACAAAUAAAUUGGUAUUAAAAAACAAUAAGGAUACCAUAGAAAAACAUAAAUAUAGAGAAUAAAGCCACAUACCCUUGAUUUGGUUGUUCUCGGAUCAAUUCUAAUCGAUGUAGAUAGCUCCAAAGUCAUAAUGUAUCUUGUAAACAUUAUGAUCUUCUACCCGACAACUCUUCCUUGUGUCUAGGCAUUAAGAUGGUGGAGAUAUCAAGGGUAGAGUCUAGGGUUCUCUUUCUAAACUAAAGGGGAGAAUGACAAGACAUAAAAACCAUAACUCCUAAAGGGGUAUUUAUAGGCUUCCUACUAGGCUUAAGUGACUUAAGCCCACCAUGGGCUUGGGUCACUUAAUCUAGCCCAAAAAAUGUUGCUAAUUGAUUAAUUAACCAUACAAGACCCUAAUUUAUUAAUUAGCUUAGUCCAAAGAUACCACUCACUUAUCCCUAUGCAACCUUGUGUAAUAAAUAAAAUGCUCUUAUGCAUAAAAGUGAACAAAAACUCAUCUAACCUUCAUAAACUGUGCCAUCAAGGAAUAUGAGCUCAGAGUGGGGAUUAUUAGAACCCAUGUGAGUAUUAGCUCCUUCAAAAUCAAAUUCUGAAAUUGAUUCAAUAUCCCACUAUAGAAAGUUAAUUGCACUCUAGUACCCUAUGUAUAUUACAACGAGACACCAAGUGCUCAGGUUCGUGAUCUACUAUCUACUGUAUGCAGACUCCCCAUGAACUAGCGUCUGUAAUCUAACAAGAUAGUAUUAUUACCUCUCAAAUUCUUGAGUUAUAGAUUCCACUUAUUAUGUGAUCAAAUAACAUACUCUAAUUCCAAGGAGCACAUGUCAAAUCCUACUAAAGGAAUUACUGUGGUCACAGAUUUCAUGAUCACAUGUCCUUUGAAUCACCCAAUGAGACACAUUGCCUCAAUCUCAUAAGAUAUCGUGGUGCUUUUAUUGAGAAUACUUGUUGCCACUAGCCUUCAUCAAUAGUUACCCAAUCCAUAGAGAUAUAUGACCACUUUAGGGCCUCACCUAUAGAUCAAAACCCCUUGUUGAUUUUAGAAUAGGCUCAAAAUCCUCUCAAGGUUGAGAGUCCAUGUAGCAUAGUAGCUUGAUGAAUCAUGACAAUUGAUAGCCUUGCAUCAUGAUUCACCAUAUGUUUUAUCCAAUGUGCAUAUACUCACCAUGAGAAACACAUAUUGACGGCCAAGACAAGUUAUCCCUCUAAUUAGGAGGUGGCGUACUACAGUCUCUACGAGAUUGUCCAAAUCUAUGAACCAAUUAUAGACAACUUAUCUACUUAGAAGGAACCCAUGAAUUUUAUUUUCCGUGCAACUCCAAAUGUACUCAAGUCAUGUACAAUGUAAGAUUUAUGGAUUGAAUGCUCAAAUCAAUGUCAAUAUAACAUGAAUUGUUACAACAUGUCUUGUUUUUAGGGGUUCAAUCCUAACAAGUAUUACUUUCAUACACUCUUUCUCCUUAAGUAUCUUAAGACAUUGAUCUUGAGAAAAAAGAACUCUAUGUCUAAAGGGUAGAAAACCCUUUUUGGAAUCUUGCAUAGCAUAUGACUCAAGUGGGUUGAGAUAGUGUAAACUUCCUAUUCUUACAAUCUCUUAAGACCUUAAUCCAAGGAAUAAACUAUGUUUCUUUAGAUUUUUCAUCUGAAACUGAGUAGAAAACUAUAUCUUGGUUGAUGAUAAUAACCUUAUAUCAUUCCAAAUGAGUAAAAUAUCAUCAAAAUAUAGGAUCAUAAAGACCAUCAUGCUUCUUUACACAUUCCUAUACACACAACGUUCAUUUUUCAUUUUGAUGAAAGUCAAACGUUUUGAUGAAAGUCAAAAGUUUUGACCGCCUAAUCAAAAUGCUUAUACAGUGAGCAAGAUACUUGCUUUAAUCCAUAAAUGGAUUUCUGCAACUUGCACACCAAACACUUUUGGUAUUUUACUAUGAAACCAUAUAGUUGCAUCAUCUAAAUGGUCUUACUAAGAUAGUCAUUUAAGAAUGCUUUCUUGACAUCUAAUUUGUUUGUCUCAUAAUUGAGAUGUGUUGUAAUGAAUAGGAGUAUUCUUAUGGAUUUGAGAAUGGUGGCUAGUAAAAAAGUCUCUUUAUAGUCAAAACCAAAUUUUUUACUAUAAUUAAGUCUAACCUUUCCAUCUACUCCUUUCUUCCUCAAAUAGACCCACUUGCACCCUAUGGCUUUUAUGCCUUUAGGUGCUUCUACAAGCUUCCAAACUAUGUUAGAAUGCAUGGAUUCUAAUUUUGUAUCCAUAGCUCUUAGCCAAAAAGAUGCAUCAACAUCGCUCAUUGCUUCAUCAUAAUCUAUGAGAUAAAUCUCAUAUUCUUAUGAAAUUAUCUCAAAAGACUUAUCCUAAUACAUUAAUCGGUCAAGUUAUACAAAACCCCUACUAUGACGAGGCAUUAGUAUACUAAAAAUGUUAGAAGUGGUCGGUACUAUAUCCAUAGUAUUUUGUGCUAUUGUGGGAGUGUCAUCUAAUACUCUUCAAUCAAUAUUACUCCUAAACUUAUUACUUAUCAUAUAUUCUUCUUUAAGAAAUCUAGCAUUUGUACUCACAAAUACUUUUUAAUCAAUUUGAGUAUAAAAGUAAUGGCCUGUCUACCCAAUUCUUCCCUGGAGGAGAUUCGCAAUAACACCAUGGAAUUGACCAAGGAUUUGGUCCAUUCAAAUCUCUCUUCAACUUGCUCAACCAUGUAAGGCUCUAAGUUUUCUUGGGAAACUUCUACCAGAAGAUUUUUUCCAAUCAAUUAAGACAUUUGUAGUGGUGUUUGGAAUUUGAAAAUAGAUGCAUCAUAGAGAGUGAAGAUAGUGAGAACUGAUUUUGUUUAUCUUGGAUCAACACACUUUAAUGUCCUAUUGUUUGCCUUCUAUAAGGAUCCUAUCUAUGAGACUGUUGAACAAGGACUUGCUUUAGUCCUCCAUGGUUAGGAAGAUCUAAAUAUUUAUCAUGUUAGGAGAAUUCAAUGCUAAAACUUUUCCAAAUGAUGGCUCCAUUUUUUUUGGGGUUCUAAAAUCAAGAAGAAAAAAAAUAAUUAUUGAUUUAUUUCACUUUUUGAUAUAUAAAGAGUGGACAUGCUCAUCAUUUUUAUCAAUGACAAUCUUUAAAUAGGCCGCCUGGAGAUCAUUGUGGUAGAUUCAGUAGGUAAUAUUGUCGUGUUAAUCUGUCAAUUUAUGUAUAGCUAUCAUUGCCUCUUAAGGCGUUGAUGUCAUUUAGCUGCAAAGCUUGAAACCUUGUUUAGCCAUAGAAUUUCCCAUCAUAACUAUGACCUAACGUGGAAUUUAUAUUUUAUGCAAUUUUUUUCUUAUUCAAAGAUGUUUAAUAAAUUAUUCUUAUUACCUAUUAAAAUAAGGGGAAAUUAUGUUUUGGGAGGCCCAUUUGAAGGUAAUAUGCAAAUCAAACCCAAAGAAACUGGAAUAUAGGCUUUGUCCGUUAAUGACCAAAUUAUUAUUCUUUUUGUGCACUAUAUAUUGUUUCGGUGAGCUAUUCCAAAAUUGCCCUUUAGUUUUCCCUGUCAGCAACCACCGCGGUCUCCAUGUCAACAGCCACCGCACAAUUUAAUAAACAUUGAAAUGUCAACCGAUCUCCAUGUCAGCAGGCUGGUGUGCAAUUUUAGAAACAUUAAAAUGUGAAUAAUGAAGUUAUGAAGUCUGAAACCCACAAAGCACCCCGACCCAACAAACAUUUGAAACUUGAAGUUAUCUUUGUCACUUUCUAUCGUUUUGCCCUAACCAGAUCUUAGAAAAUUUCCAUUUUCAUAGCUCUUUUGAUACAUCCGAUUUGUUUAUUGAGAUCUUGAGCAGGCGAUCAAUACCCAUAUUUUGAAAGCCGGCUUCAUUUGAUUCUGCCCUAACCCUAGUGUGUCUCUUUACUAGUUGACGACCCAAACCCGAUAGGUUUUUUCCGAAAACCUUCAAGGAAGCCAAAAUCGAGGCAGAUCUUCGUAUUUCUUCAUCAAAUGUUGAUUUUUUAAAGGUUUAUGGAAACCGAAGUGGAGUUUCCUCAAUCAAUAACAGGUGAGUUUUCCAUUUAAGCAUUCGUUUGGGUGUUGAGAACAUAUUAGGGUUGAAGGUGUUAACAUGAGCAUCAGAAAAGAAACUAGUUUAAUAAUAGAUUGAGCAUCAGAAAAAAGGCCGGCUUUGGUACUUUGUUUUAGCUGUGAUUUUUUUUUUUUACUUUUUGAUGGGUAUUGUGAGGUUUUCUAUGUCAAUUGUUGGUUGGUUUAAGCAUUUGGGUCUUUUAGAUUUUGAGCAUUAACUUUUGGGUUGUCCACUGAUUAGGUUUUUAUCUCAUUUCAAAAUUGAAUUUGAGGUGUUUUUACUGUUUUGAGUAUCAAUUAUACUGGUAGGAGGUGAGCAAAAAAUCAUUAUAAAGUAAAGUUUUUGUAUACUGUGAUGUGGAUUUUUUUUUCGGGGUCGUGCGUUGGCUGGUUAAGCAUUUAGGUCUUUCAAAUUUUGAGCAUUGAUUGUUGAGGUGUCCAACAACUUGGCUUUUAUAUCGUUCCAUAAGUGAAUUUUGAGGUAUUUUGCCAUUUCAUGAUAUUGAUCAUCCUUGUAGUAACUGAGUAGAAAAUGAAUAUAAAUUAAAGGUUUUAUGUGGUGUGUUGUUGAUUUCAUUAUUGGGUAUUGAUUUUUAUUUGGUUUAAGAAUAUGGGUUUUCAUAUUUUGAGCAUUGAAAGUUUUGUUGUCCAAUGGCUUUGCUUCCACCCUAUUUUAGUAGUGAAAUUUGAUUUUUUUUUUGCUUCUUUUAGUGUUGAUUAUGAUGGUGGUAGGUGAGCAAGAAAUAAGUCAUUGAGUAUAAAUCAAAGGUUCUCUCUAAUGUAUUAUUGAUUUAUUUUUUUGGUGUUGAUUGCUGGCUGAUUUAUCAUUUGGGGAUUCCAUAUUUUGAGUACUGAUUGUUGGGUUGUCCAACGAUCUGGAUUUAAUCUGGUGUUAGAAGUGAAUUUUGAGGUGUCUCAUUUUAGUAUUGAUUAUACUGUUGUUCAAUGAGCAAGAAACGAGUAUAAAUUAAUAUACUGAAAAAAUCAUAUUAGUUUAAGUGCUUGUGUAAUACAUGCAUAAUAAAUCUAAAUCUAGAAGAUGAAAUCUUGAAUUAGAAUUCCCAGGAUGGAUGAGCUAACAUGUUAUAUCUUGAUAUCUAGACCUACAAUGAGAGAAGGAAUGCAAUAUUUUAUCGAAAAAUUAAAUCCAUUAUAGAAUAGGUUUAUGGAUCUUAAUUAAAUAUGGAUGAUCAAAACAAACUAUUUUACAAAAAUCAGUGAUGAUCAAACCUCACUUUAUUUUCCCAAUGCAACAAAACCAAGCAAAGUUGUGAAUUCAUAAUUUCGGUUUUCCAUAAAUAAAAUAGGAAUCAACGAAUGGUAUCAUUUCAAGUCAUAUAAUUACUGGUAGACCUACAUUGUGAAAGGUCUGCUUGCAUUGUAAAGAAGCCUAGAUUGAAAAAAAAAUUUAUAAAUAAAAAAGUAUACAUACUCACACCUAGAUUUUUAAUUUCAAGUUUUAUUUGUAAUGUGCUAUUUAGGGUUUUGUUUAUUUAUUUCAUUUGUUUUAAAGCUUCAAUUUGCAUAAUGUCUUCUCUUUAUGAAUUGUGAUUAGGUAAAGUAUUUGAUAACUCUUGUUGAAAUUUGAGUUUUAUAUUUCUUUAAUGUUCCAUGUGAGAGUUUGAGCAUCAUGCCACUUAAAAUUUUUUGAAGUGAUCAGCAUGAUUUUGUAAAGUAUAUUACUGUUUAUUUUACUUUUUCUCUCCUUAAUUGCUAAGGGACUAGCAAUAUGUCGGUUGGGGGGAGUGAUUACUACUCAAAAAGUGUUAUUUUGUACCUUGUAAUUAACUCUUUUAAACACUUUUGAGUAGUAGUUAUUACCUUUUAACUCAAUUAGCAUAUUAAGUACCUUUGCAAUCGUUUCUAAUCAAAUUGUGUAAGUUUUGGUGUUUUUGAUAGUAUUUUGAUCACCAAAGAAAUCCAAGAUUGAGGAGAAUUCUAUGGAAUCCAUGGCAAAGCAAUUGGAAGCUCAUUAACAUAAAGAAUCUAAGCUUUGAAGUUUUAUAGUCCUUUGCCAUAAGCAAAUCAUGAAUGCAAGGAGAGAAAGCAAAGAGAGAAAUCUAACAUGAAGAAUUCAAGAAGAUAGCAACUGUUGGACACUUUUGGAGCACUUCCUGGAGCCCAUUUGAUGCAUAAUAUAUGUCGUUUUGAAGCUCGGGAAGUCAGCAAUCCAACGCUUUAAACGGUACAUGAAUCGGAGUUGAAAUGAAGAAGUUAGAGCCAUUGGAAUCCGAUCACACCAAGCUGAAGGCCAAUUUCGCAGGCUGCGAAAUCAGCCUUUGGUUGCAAAAUCACAAGAGGAUGGCUGCGAAAUCAGCCUUUGGUUGUGAAAUGGUGACCUUCAGCUUGCGAAAUUUUGCAGCCAUCUUGCAUGCUUAGGAAAUCCUCCUGAGUGCUUCCAGAUAUUUGCGACCGACACUUUUAGAUUUUUUUCUUCAGAUAUUUGAUGUUUAAAUCCCCAUUUUCUCCUUGUAAUCCACCAAUCAUAGGAUUCCUUGGUUAUUAAGUAAGAACAAAGGGUGAAUAACCUUAUAUAUAUUGUUUGUAAUUUUCAUUACACAAAACAUCUCGGGAACUUGUUCUCAGAGACAUCUUUUAUAUAGUUUUGAAGGAAGUAAAAUACAGAGCUUUGCUCUGCCUUACCUACUCAAUUUGAUUGUAUUUUUCUUUCUAUCCAAACAAGCUCUAAGGAUAUUUCCUCAGAGAAUGAGUGGCUAGACUUUUUGUCUCUUGGAGCUAAGGUAGCUGGGUAAGGUCUCGAGUGCAAGAAUUGGUAGUUUUGUUGUUUCAGCUAUUAAGGAAGAGAAAGUGUGACCCGUUAAUGGUUUCUAUGUUUUUAGUUAACUUAAAACGCCUUUAAUUCACCUAGGCCAACACUUGGUAAGGCAAGUGAUCUCCGUCCAUUGAGAUGCACUAGUUUACCUCUUGCGAGCCUUUGGGAGGUGACUCGAAGGUAGGAUUUUCUAGAAUUGCCAACACUUGGUAAGCUUUUGGACUCUAAGGAGACAUCCAUUAGUUAUCUCUUACGAGCUUGAGAAGGGAAGUCCAAGGUUAAUGAGCACUUUGAAUGGUAAAUGCUAGGUGAGAGGCACGAGCCAUUGCAAGUUGCAUCAGUGAGAGAGAUUUAGUGUUUGAAUCCAAUAACGGGAAGCAUCUGUACAACACCGAUUAGAGAAAUAACUAUAUGUUAAUUCUCUAAUGCGAGGAAAAGAUUCAAGUGACCGGAGCUUUGUUUUUGCAUGAGGAGUCUGACCCCAGUGAACCUAAAACUCCAAGGAACGCUUUUCUUCAUAAGUAAUUCCCAUUACUUUCUUUUUAGUUAGCUUAAAAUCUAUCAUUUUUCAAUCAAAGUUUAUGUUUUCUUUUGAAGCUAACCUUGAAAUGAAAAAAACACCAAUUCAACUUUGAAUUGGUAUCAGUUGUAAGUUGAAAACCCUUCCCAGUGAACGAUCCUAGAGCCACUAUGCUAUAUUAGCUAAGGCUAUCCUAGUGCAUGGUGAUAUAGGUUAUAAAUUUUGUUGAUUACUCCUGUUUGAGGACCAAACUCAAGGUACACCAGCUAGGCACGCAAUCAAUGUCAAAAUUGUUGUGAUUCAUGAUGACAGAGAUGUGUUUUUAGUUUAUUAGUACAUUACUUCGCAGGUACUUAGGUAAUUCAAACCUCUCUAGUCAUCUGGUACUUGAACUUGGGCAGCUAGAGUAUCUACAAUAUCUGUAUUUUUUCUCUUUGAUUGUUUAAUGUAGAAAGAUUGUGAUUCCUUAGUUUUUUAUUCUAUGGUUUGUCUUGCAAUAAUCUAUGGUAUGUUGAGAGAGUCAUUCGAGUUCUUUGAGUGUGGGAUGAUUGGAUAUUUCUUUAUGAACUAAGAUAUGGAAAAUCACCCUUUAAGAGUUUAGGAAUGAUGAUCUAUUAUGGAGCCUUAGGAUCCCUACAAAAUCUACUUUAAAUUUCCAGGAAAAAAAAUGUGAUUAGGGGGCUAUUAAUUCAAGAGCCCCCCAAUAGAUUAGGAUCUAAGGAACUCACACAGAGAUCUAGCAACACCCAUUCUUCUGGGUCUGAAAUGUGUUACGAUGUGUUGUGCAAUGCCACAAGAGUUUCCCAUCUAUGCGAUAUUAGAAAUAGAACUUGAGUUAUGGUUUCCUAACACCAGUGUAACUCUAAUUGUUGCUCCCAAAAAGGAGGCUACUAGUAUAACAUGCAGGAGAGUAUAUACAAAGUUUGAGUAUUUUUACCUCAAACAUCUCUACCAUGGGAAAGGUUUGGCUUUCUUUUCUUAGUUGAGUCUCAUUCUUAUUGUAAUGUUUAUUAUAAUGAAAUGAUGAAAAGAUGACAAAUAUUGUUGGGGUAAAUUGUUCAGAAAAGUGGCAGCAUGUUAUUUAAAUAUAUGAAUAUGGAACUGGAAACUCAGACUCCAAACAGGAAACAAAGGAAGGGAUAACAUUCUCUUAACAUUUAUGAUGGGCCCAUCACAUAGGGUUCCUUCUCAGUCACCCCAUUGAAAUCUAUCCAACAUAAGACACACCCUUAAUAAAAAACAAAAACAAUAAUAAAUGAAAAAAGAAAAUAAGGACAACAUAGUUUACCCUUGAACAAUGGAAUCUUUGAGAGCAUUUAGUAAGUUCUUAUAAACUUCACUAGAGAGAGUAUCAUCUAACAAAAUUGCUUUCAAUUUCUUAACUUCAAUGGAUAGGGUCAUUCAUUAUUAACUCGAUGAACGAAUUUGUUGCAUUAAACAAAUUGAUUUCAAAAAACCUAUAAUCUGGGAUGUAUUGAAAUCUUUAUCAGGAUAUGAUAGACUUUUGACUUUCGAAUGAAGGUCUAGGUAUAAACAAAUUAGGCCAAGGUUUACACCCAUAAAGUUAAUAUAGUAAGUUACGUACAUGGGAGUGAGAGUGAUAGAGUAAGUGUAAAAUAAGGAUGUCCCUCUUUGUUAUGUGGGAUCAUUUAAUUAUUAAUGUCUUCUCGAUGGUAAAAAGUAUAGUUCGAUAACGGUUGUAGGAUGUAAUUAUUUUUUUAAGAUGAUGAAGAAUGAAAGUGGAAAGAAACAUAGAAAAUGGUUUGGAGAUGAGGACAUAGGAAUGGUGGAUAGGAAGUAAGCCACCAUUCUUAUUCCUUAAGCAACUUCAUGGCAUUAGAUUAUAGAUACAAGGAUAUAUUAGGGAUUUGAUUAUAGAAAGGGGGCCUUCAUUCCCUUCUUCCACCUUUCCUCUUUGUCUUUUGUUUUGCUAAAAAAAAUUCUUACACGUUAGCUAAGCAUCACAUGCCCCGAGGAUGACCCAUUUCUGACCUCUCUCUCUAGUCCUUCUUUUUCUCUUUCCAACAUCAUUAUAUUCAUACAUAAUCAUAAUCCCUAUUUACUUUUGUUGUCGUUUUAUUUGUAACAAGUUUCUAUUUAAUUAAGGAAAUGGAAGAGGACAUGUUCUGCUACAUUCAUGAAGGCGGUCAACUAGUUAAAUGUGCUGGUGGGUCUGUAGAAUAUCAAGGUGGUCGAACCGAAUCCAUGGUUGUUAGUUGGAAUAUUUCACAUAGUGAUUUCAUUUCAAAACUGUGUGAUGAGCUGCACUUUGACUGAAGUUCUAUCAAAUUGGAAUUCACGGUCAAGUUUGACCCAUCAUGUCUACUACCGUUGCAUGAUGACGUAGUCAUACUUAAGAUGUUCAGAUUCAACGAAAUGUUUUAUCGAGUCUAUGUCUCAUCAUCAAGUGAAGUUAUUGCAGCCUAUAUAGCACUGACUAGGUACUUAUAGCCUUACCAACAUCACAUACACUUUGUCCAUUAACUUUUGAAAUAUAUGUAGAUGGAUGAAUAAUUUUUAUUUGUAGUGCCCCUACUCCUAUUGUUGGUUCAAAUUCGGCACAUGUACUUUCCUCCGAUGGUGAUCCGCCAAUGGAUAUCUGUAAUGACUCUCUUACAAUUGAGUCAUAUAGGUUUUCCCAAAGAUAUGCUGAAUUAAAUAUACUCGAACGUGAUUCAAGGCGGUUUGAAAAUUCCAUUAUGGGUAGUGGACAUACCUUCCCCAAUGUUACCGAGUUCCAUGAUGACGUGUAUUUGAUGUCAAUUGCUGGUAGAUUCCGUUAUUGCUUCAAGAGAAAUAGUACAAAACACAUGGCAGUUGUUUGCACAGUUAAUGAAUGUCCUUGGAAAGUCACUGCUCGUGCAGUUGGUGAAUCGAACAUCGUUUAGGUUCACACUUUUCAAAACCUCCACAAUCAUAGUUUGGAAGAUGUUGCCACAUGCCAACCUUUAGUGAGAUCCAAUCGUGCCUCAUUGCUUAUUGAUGAUGUCAUACAGUCCACUCCCCAUUACCAACCCUGCCAAAUUUGUAAGGACUUUCAAAGGCAACAUAGGAUGCAAUUGACGUAUCUUCAAGCAUGGAAUAUUAAGGAGAAGGCAAAUGAGCGCAUUUAUGGAGAACCCAAAUAUUAUUACAAAUUGUUGCCUUGGAUGUAUGAGAAAAUGGUUGCAACAAAUCUAGGAAGCAUUAUUGAGUUGAGACAUUUAAGUGAUGGGCAUUUUGAGUAACUCUUUAUUGCUCAUUCGGUAUCUAUCCAAGGGUUUGAAAUGGGGUGUCGGCCAAUCAUUGCUAUUGACUCCGCCCAUAUGAGUGGGCCAUAUAGGGGUGCAUUAUUUUCAGCCACUGCAUAUGAUGCAAAUGACUCCAUAUUCCCCUUAGCCUUUGGCGUGAUGAGCUCAGAAAAUUAUGGCAAUUACUCUUGGUUUUUGCAAAACUUGAAAAAGGUUGUUGGAGAUAAGGAAGUCGUUAUUAUCUCGGAUAGACAUCAUGUUCUCCUUCAUCGUGUUCCUGAAGUGUUUGGGCUUGAAAACCACGCCUACUGUUACCGUCACUUGAAGGAAAAUUUCAACUCUUUUUUGAGCAAACGUAACACAAGAGGGAACAAAGGUAAAGAAAAUGCACUCCAAUUCCUUGAUAGUAUUGUCUAUGCAAGGUUAGAGUACGAUUACAAUGUUUUCGAGGUUGAACUACGGAAAUACAAUGACACUUUAGCCACAUGGGUUGAAGAAAAUGCACCCAAACAUUGGGCUAUGUCAAAAUUCCCAAAACAAAUAUGGGAUAAAAUGACCACAAACCUUGCCAAGUUGUUUAAUGCUUGGUUAAGGAAUGAAAGACAUCACUCCAUUUGUGUCUUUCUAAUGGAGCAUAAAGGUAGUACCUAAGGUACAUUAAGGUAGUACCUAAGGUACAGUCCCAAAAAACCAAAGGUGGACCACUUGACCACAUAAGAGAACCACAUAAUGGCAUGGUCUAAGGGUNNNNNNNNNNNNNNNNNNNNNNNNNNNNNNNNNNNNNNNNNNNNNNNNNNNNNNNNNNNNNNNNNNNNNNNNNNNNNNNNNNNNNNNNNNNNNNNNNNNNGGUAGACCCCAACUUUAGCUAAGGUAGUACCUAAGGUCCCUAAAGGUAGUACCUAAAGUACAUUAAGGUAGUACCUAAGGGCUCUUAAGGUAGUACCUAAGGUACAGUCCCAAAAAACCAAAUGUGGACCUCUUAACCACAUAAGAGAACCACAUAAUGGCAUGGUCUAAGGGUCACAAAAGAAGGCCUCGUUUGGGAAAGUUAGACCCCAGUUUUAGCUAAGAUAGUUCCUAAGGUACAAUCCCUAAAAACCAAAGGUGGACCACUUGACCACACAAGAGAACCACAUAAUGACAUGGUCUAAGGGUCAUAAAAGAAGGCCCGAGGCUUGGGAAAAGUAAACCCCAACUUUACCUAAGGUAGUACCUAAGGUCCCUUAAGGUAGUACCUAAGAUACAAUCCCAAAAAACCAAAGGUGGACCACUUGACUACACAAAAGAACCACAUAAUGGCAUGGUCUAAGGGUCACAAAGGAAGACCCAAGGCUUGGGAAUGAUAGACCCCAACUUUAGCUAAGGCAGUACCUAAAGGCUCUUAAGGUAGUACCUAAGGUUUAAUUCCAAAAUACCAAAGGUGAACCACUUGACCACACUAGAGAAUCACAUAAUGGCAUGGUCUAAGGGUCACAAAGGAAGACUUGAAGCUGGGGAAAGGUAGAUCCCAAUUUUUGCUAAGGUAAUACCUAAGGUAUAUUAAGGUAGUACCUAAGGGCUCUUAAAGUAGUACCUAAGGUACAGUCCAAAAAAUCAAAGGUGAACCACUUGACCACAUAAGAGAACCACAUAAUGGCAUGGUCUAAUGGUCACAAAGGAAGGCCCGAGGCUUCGAAAAGGUAGACCCCAACUUUUGCUAAGGUAAUACUUGAGGUACAUUAAGGUAGUAUCUAAGAGCUCUUAAGGUAGUACCUAAGGUACAUUCUUAAAUAACCAAAGGUGAACCACUUGACCACAUAAGAGAAUCACAUAAUCGCAUGGUCUUAAGGUCAUAAAUGAAGGUCCGAGACUUGGGAAUGGUAGACCCCAAGUUUAGCUAAGGUAGUACCUAAGGUCCCUUAAGGUAGUACCUAAGGUACAUUAAGGUAGUACCUAAGGGCUCUUAAGGUAGCACCUAAGGUACAGUCCGCAAAAUAACAAUGCCACUUACAACCUUUUGCUCUUGUUAGAGCUCGCUAAGUCCACUUACAAACUUUUCCAUGCUAAGGCCACUUACUCUUUGGCUUUGAUUUCCAUAUUACCUUCAAAUGGGCGACUCCAAACACAACUUUCCCAUUUUUUUUAAGCCAUAGAAAUUUGCAUGUUAAAACCAUAAUUUUUCUCCCACGUUUUAAAAUUCCCAUUUGCGAGACCUUUUUUUUUUUCGUUUUGACUCUUACCACAUUAUAAAUGCAACACACAAAUUACUUGCAAGACUACUUAAAAAAUAACUUAUGCUUUUAGCUGGACCUAGUAUUUUUUUUAAAUUUUCUUUUUAUUCUUUAUGCAAUAUAAAAAUUUUAAGUUACACUGGAAACCAACUGAAUCCACAAAUACAAGGAACUCUUUCACUCUUCAGUCAUAAAGUAUUCACAAAUCAAAAUACCAACUCCUAUUGAAAACAACAAGCUCUUUCAAUAUGCUAUACCACACACAACAACUGGAUACCAGAUUUCUAUGCAUUUGAAAAGGUUGAUUAAAUCUCUUAACUCUUCCACAUAACUCCUUUAAACAAUAUGAGGAGCUUACCUGCCAUACUGCCAUAUCUAAACCUUGAAUUUAUGAUAAAUAUCCACAAGUUUUCUUAGAUGUAUCAACCUAGGAUCAACUAAUCAAAAUAUUCACUCAUAUAUUAUAUAUAAGAGGCAAAAAACAGAACAUGACUUCUAAACAAAAUUAGCACCAAGUCCAUGAUUUCCUGAUAGCAACCCAUUCUAGAAUGAGUUAUUCCCUCACAUGAUUUCUGGUACAGAUGUUCUCAAAGAAUUCAUACUUAACCAUCCUAGAAAACUAUUCCCAAUAAAAAUAAAAAUAAAUCCCUAAUAUGUUCCUGUACAAUUUGCAGUUCACACAAAGCAAAAACCACUGUCUUGUACGAAACCACAAAUUGCAACACAAUUAAUAAAAGAAAAAAGAAACAAAUAGAAAAACCCCACAAGAAUGCAGUAAAACUAUCAUUCAGCAAAUUCUGAAAUAAAAAAGAAACAAAUAGAAAACCCCACAAAAAUGCAGUAAAACUAUCAUUCGGCAGUUUUGGAAAUAAAAAAGAAACAAAUAGAAAAACCCCACAAGAAUGCUGAAAAACUAUCAUUCAGCAAUUUUGGAAAUAUUGUAAACCAACACCAUUAUCAUUCAAGCUUCUGAAGUAACCCAUGAUGAGAGCAAGAAGAUCAUAGAACACUUCGAAAAUAAUCCAUACCCACUGAAGAAAAACAUGAUUCACGGAGACCCACAUACCUCAUGCCCCUCAUCAAUGAAAAGUCUGUAAGCCAUGUUCGGGUGUUUUCUUUGAUUGGGUUUCAGAUUUCAUAACUUUCCGGUUCACAUUUGAGUGUUUAUUAAAUGGGCAAUUUUGGAUAUCGGUGGCUACUGACAUGGAGACCGUGGUGGCUGCUGAUAGGGAAAACUAAAGGGCAAUUUUGAAAUAGCUCACCGAAAUAGUAUAUAGUGCACAAAAAGAAUAAUAGUUUGGUCAUUGACGGACAAAGCCCAUAUUCCAGUUUCUUUGGGUUUGAUUUGCAUAUUACAUUCAAAUGGGCCUUCCGAAACACAACUUUCCCUUAAAAUAAUCUAAAUAAUAUUUCUCUUGUGAAAGCCCAAGCAUUCUUAUUGUUCUUCCUCUUUCUCCUCUUUAUCAGGCAUUUUAUUAGCAAUUGAUUAUGCAUCUGAAUUUUUUCAUCAACUCCUAGGAGUUCAUUGACGGUCAGCGCUUGGUAACACAUGCCUAUAUGUCUCACAUGUUUGGGUUGAGAGCAAAGCACUUAGGUCUUCACAAAGCAAUUUGUGUUCUGUUGGGAUGGAACAACAUUGUGCCCCCAGACACAAUAACAUGGGUUCCUCAUGUCUUACUUGGUGAUGAAGCUUUGAAUCAGAAAGAGGACCUCAUUCUCUGGCCACCACUUGUCAUCAUCCAUAAUAUUUCUAUUUGGAACAGUGAUCCAAAAGAAUGGAAGCUUGUAACCACUGAAGCGCUUGGGGCUUUUCUCAGAGGUUUGUGACUAACUUUUGGUUAAAUAAUCAUGUUGAGUUGGUUUACAACUGAAUUUAAUUGGAGGGAAUGCAAUGCAUAUAAAAAAUAAGAAUGCAAUUUAACCUAUUCUUGACGAGCAACACAGGAUGAGAAAUAAGAGAUUAUCAUUAUUGUCAGAUAAUAAGUCUGACCAAAAAGACAAGCUCAUUAUCAACCAACCCAACUUAAACUCGACCCUAAUAAACUUGUUGAACAAACACGUUGAAUCCUGCCCCAUUUGAUGAGAAAACAUGGCUAACCUUAUGAUGUAAUUCUUAUUUUGCUACUUGAAAAUUAUCAGUUUUAAAAAACUUAGAAGACUAAUGCCCUUAUACUUUCAUGGGAGUGAACCUCUCAGUAUCCUGAGCAAAAGCCUUUUCUUUUUUUUUCUUUUUUCCUUCUGAUCGUUGACUACUUGUUUUUGUGAAGAUUCUUCAAAAUGCCCUGGUUGCUUCCUUCAAGUCUUCACACCAUUAGAAAUCUGUAGUGCCCUUGCUGUGAUUUGACUAUUUCAUUCUUAUUCCCAAGUCUCAAUAUUUUCCUUUCCUUCUUUUAAAUCAACCCAAGAAUUUUACAAAUUUGUCUUAUUUUUGUAGUAGUUUCUAUAUUGGUUUUGAUUUGGAAGUGAGGAUGACUUCACUGAAAAUGUACAAAUUAAGAAAAAUUACAAAUGAUAAGCUCUUGAAAUUUACAAAAUUCAAGAUAAAUACAAGGCAGCCACUUCUCAUUCCGUCAUCUGUAAAUCACACAUACUUGUGUAUGCAAAUGAAGAAGAAACAAUCAUUUUCUGAAACUUUCCUUUACCUCCUUUGGAAGUCAAGGAACUUAAUGCCAUAGGCAAAGACAAAUAAGAAGAGGAGGACCCAACCAAUAUGAGCCAAGGCAACCGCUCCCAGGAAAUCAUAUUCAAAGCCUAAAGCCUCCUUAAGAUACUGCUUCACUGACAUGUCAUCUGCUCCGGGUACCUGAACUGGAUCCUCCUUGUCGCCCACCUGAGAUGUCACUAGUCCGUAGAUGGUCCAAGCAACAGGGGAAGCCCAGUAGUACCACCUCCACCAUAUUGGUAUUUGCUGCAGAUGUACAGUUUGUUAGAAUUCAGUAUUCUUCUACAAAAACAUACUCAAAUUCUUCGUAGGCAUACGCACCAUCCUAUGGAUGAGAAAGCCAGAGAAGAGAUUCCAAAAGCUUAGGAAGAAGGACAUAACAAUGGCAGCAAUUUGAUGGCUGGGAGUGAGUGCUACAAUCAUCAUUCCAUACAAUGUGAAGUAAAUAAAGCACAUGAAUAGGUAGUAGUAGAACCAUAAGAACUUGUCCACUCGCCAGUAGAAUCCCAUCAUAGAGUAGAGGAGAAAACUG
RNAcentral lists this long non-coding RNA (41811 nucleotides) under Vitis vinifera (wine grape). RNAcentral's name for it is "long non-coding RNA (VVIN_LNC004125)". Lineage: Eukaryota; Viridiplantae; Streptophyta; Magnoliopsida; Vitales; Vitaceae. The record is from RNAcentral.